AGAGUUUGAUCAUGGCUCAGAUUGAACGCUGGCGGCAUGCCUUACACAUGCAAGUCGAACGGCAGCACGGGCUUCGGUCUGGUGGCGAGUGGCGAACGGGUGAGUAAUGUAUCGGAACGUACCUUUCAGUGGGGGAUAACGUAGCGAAAGUUACGCUAAUACCGCAUAUUCUGUGAGCAGGAAAGCAGGGGAUCGCAAGACCUUGCGCUGAUUGAGCGGCCGAUAUCAGAUUAGCUAGUUGGUGGGGUAAAGGCCUACCAAGGCUACGAUCUGUAGCGGGUCUGAGAGGAUGAUCCGCCACACUGGAACUGAGACACGGUCCAGACUCCUACGGGAGGCAGCAGUGGGGAAUUUUGGACAAUGGGGGCAACCCUGAUCCAGCCAUGCCGCGUGAGUGAAGAAGGCCUUCGGGUUGUAAAGCUCUUUCGGCCGGGAAGAAAUCGCAUAGGUUAAUACCCUGUGUGGAUGACGGUACCGGAAUAAGAAGCACCGGCUAACUACGUGCCAGCAGCCGCGGUAAUACGUAGGGUGCGAGCGUUAAUCGGAAUUACUGGGCGUAAAGCGUGCGCAGGCGGUUUCGUAAGACAGAGGUGAAAUCCCCGGGCUCAACCUGGGAACUGCCUUUGUGACUGCGAAGCUAGAGUACGGCAGAGGGGGGUGGAAUUCCACGUGUAGCAGUGAAAUGCGUAGAGAUGUGGAGGAACACCGAUGGCGAAGGCAGCCCCCUGGGCCGAUACUGACGCUCAUGCACGAAAGCGUGGGUAGCAAACAGGAUUAGAUACCCUGGUAGUCC
RNAcentral lists this ribosomal RNA (793 nucleotides) under uncultured bacterium. RNAcentral describes it as "bacterial SSU rRNA". It matches the Rfam family "Bacterial small subunit ribosomal RNA", at positions 8 to 796 of the family's 1533-position model. The record is from RNAcentral.